UACGGGGGGGCAAGCGUUGUUCGGAAUUACUGGGCGUAAAGGGCUCGUAGGCGGCCAACUAAGUCAGACGUGAAAUCCCUCGGCUUAACCGGGGAACUGCGUCUGAUACUGGAUGGCUUGAGGUUGGGAGAGGGAUGCGGAAUUCCAGGUGUAGCGGUGAAAUGCGUAGAUAUCUGGAGGAACACCGGUGGCGAAGGCGGCGAUCCUGGACCAAUUCUGACGCUGAGGAGCGAAAGCCAGGGGAGCAAACGGGAUUAGAUACCCGGA
RNAcentral lists this ribosomal RNA (267 nucleotides) under uncultured bacterium. Its description in RNAcentral is "partial 16S ribosomal RNA". It matches the Rfam family "Bacterial small subunit ribosomal RNA", at positions 524 to 790 of the family's 1533-position model. The record is from RNAcentral.